GAUGAACGCUGGCGGCGUGCCUAACACAUGCAAGUCGAGCGAACGGACGAGAAGCUUGCUGCUCUGAUGUUAGCGGCGGACGGGUGAGUAACACGUGGACAACCUACCUAUUAGACUGGGAUAACUUCGGGAAACCGGAGCUAAUACCGGAUAAUAUUUUGAACCGCAUGGUUCAAAAGUGAAAGACGGUCUUGCUGUCACUUAUAGACGGAUCCGCGCUGCAUUAGCUAGUUGGGUAGGUAACGGCUUAGCAAGGCAACGAUGCGUAGCCGACCUGAGAGGGUGAUCGGCCACACUGGAACUGAGACACGGUCCAGACUCCUACGGGAGGCAGCAGUAGGGAAUCUUCCGCAAUGGGCGAAAGCCUGACGGAGCAACGCCGCGUGAGUGAUGAAGGUCUUCGGAUCGUAAAACUCUGUUAUUAGGGAAGAACAUAUGUGUAAGUAACUGUGCACAUCUUGACGGUACCUUAUCAGAAAGCCACGGCUAACUACGUG
This 497-nucleotide ribosomal RNA is filed under the name uncultured bacterium. RNAcentral's name for it is "partial 16S ribosomal RNA". It matches the Rfam family "Bacterial small subunit ribosomal RNA", at positions 28 to 507 of the family's 1533-position model. The record is from RNAcentral.